Molecule: long non-coding RNA, 327 nt
Filed under: Pan troglodytes (chimpanzee)
Lineage: Eukaryota; Metazoa; Chordata; Mammalia; Primates; Hominidae
Description: long non-coding RNA NONPTRT014250
Source: RNAcentral
AGGGCGGCUAGCUACUCGACAAGUCGUCAGCGCGGCUGCGCCGCAGGAGCCCGGGAGGCCUUUCGCCCGAGGCGGGCUGCGGGCUGCGGGGGUCUGGUGCGGAGGGCCAACUUCUGGGAAUAACCUGGCUGUGGGCUUAAAAAUCGUAGUCAUUCAUUAUCACGGGCUUCUCUCUCUCGAAUACCUUUAACAUUUAUCGCCUUGUUAGUCUCCACAUCCACCUCCGUGAAAGAGAUGGAGUCUCGCUACAUUUCCCAGUCUGGCCUCAAACUCCUGAUCUUAAGGGAUCCCCAGCUCAACCUCUCCCAGCAGCUGGGACUACCGGGC